UCAUGUCCACCACUAAACUAUGCAAGCAACAAACAUACAUAGCAUUACAUAACAUAUCAUCUCUUUAGCAACUUACAUUACAUAACUAUCACUAUAAACAUAUACAAUAAGCAUCUCUCCUUAUACAUAAACAUAAACAUAACUAAGCUAUUACAACCAAACAUGGCAACCCAUGCUUGAACCUCUUCUAUCCCAUAGCUUACUCUGACUGAACUCAGGCUACUUACUCUGGCUUGACAUACUCUGGCUUACUUACUCUGGCUUACUUACUCUGGCCCUGCAAAACUGGGGGUAAGGGAAUGGGGUGAGCUACAAGAGCCCAGUGAGUAGAAACAGAGAAAAACAUUUGAUUUAGUUCCUCCAUUUUUAGGUAUAUUAUUAUGCCUUUUAUUGUUCCACCCUUUUUAUGUAUUUUAUUAUAAAGACAUUUUAUUCAAU
Molecule: long non-coding RNA, 438 nt
Filed under: Manihot esculenta (cassava)
Lineage: Eukaryota; Viridiplantae; Streptophyta; Magnoliopsida; Malpighiales; Euphorbiaceae
Description: long non-coding RNA (MESC_LNC003019)
Source: RNAcentral